GCAAUGGUGGCUCAGUGGAAGAAUUCUUGCCUUCCAUGCAGAAGACCUGGGCUCAAUUCCCAGCCUUUGUA
This 71-nucleotide transfer RNA is filed under the name Loxodonta africana (African savanna elephant). It matches the Rfam family "tRNA". From Rfam's summary of the family: Transfer RNA (tRNA) molecules are approximately 80 nucleotides in length. Their secondary structure includes four short double-helical elements and three loops (D, anti-codon, and T loops). Lineage: Eukaryota; Metazoa; Chordata; Mammalia; Proboscidea; Elephantidae. The record is from Rfam by way of RNAcentral.